This 253-nucleotide ribosomal RNA is filed under the name uncultured bacterium. Its description in RNAcentral is "partial 16S ribosomal RNA". It matches the Rfam family "Bacterial small subunit ribosomal RNA", at positions 524 to 776 of the family's 1533-position model. The record is from RNAcentral.
UACGGGGGGGGCAAGCGUGGUUCGGAAUUACUGGGCGUAAAGGGCUCGUAGGCGGCCAACUAAGUCAGACGUGAAAUCCCUCGGCUUAACCGGGGAACUGCGUCUGAUACUGGAUGGCUUGAGAUUGGGAGAGGGAUGCGGAAUUCCAGGUGUAGCGGUGAAAUGCGUAGAUAUCUGGAGGAACACCGGUGGCGAAGGCGGCAUCCUGGCCCAACACUGACGCUGAGGAGCGAAAGCCAGGUGAGCAAACGGG